Molecule: ribosomal RNA, 253 nt
Filed under: uncultured bacterium
Lineage: Bacteria
Description: partial 16S ribosomal RNA
Rfam family: Bacterial small subunit ribosomal RNA
Source: RNAcentral
UACGUAGGCCGCAAGCGUUGUUCGGAGUUACUGGGCGUAAAGGGUGUGUAGGCGGUCCUCUAAGUUUGGUGUGAAAUCUCCCGGCUCAACUUGGAGGGUGCGACGAAAACUGGAGGGCUAGAGUACUGGAUGGGAGAGUGGAAUUCCUGGUGUAGCGGUGAAAUGCGUAGAUAUCAGGAGGAACACCUGUGGUGUAGACGGCUCUCUGGACAGUAACUGACGCUGAGACACGAAAGCGUGGGUAGCAAACAGG